AACUGUUGGUGUCUGUAUCACUA
RNAcentral lists this non-coding RNA (23 nucleotides) under Cricetulus griseus (Chinese hamster). The record is from RNAcentral. Lineage: Eukaryota; Metazoa; Chordata; Mammalia; Rodentia; Cricetidae.